Molecule: ribosomal RNA, 497 nt
Filed under: uncultured bacterium
Lineage: Bacteria
Description: partial 16S ribosomal RNA
Rfam family: Bacterial small subunit ribosomal RNA
Source: RNAcentral
GAUGAACGCUGGCGGCGUGCCUAAUACAUGCAAGUCGAGCGAACGGACGAGAAGCUUGCUUCUCUGAUGUUAGCGGCGGACGGGUGAGUAACACGUGGAUAACCUACCUAUAAGACUGGGAUAACUUCGGGAAACCGGAGCUAAUACCGGAUAAUAUUUUGAACCGCAUUGUUCAAAAGUGAAAGACGGUCUUGCUGUCACUUAUAGAUGGAUCCGCGCUGCAUUAGCUAGUUGGUAAGGUAACGGCUUACCAAGGCAACGAUGCAUAGCCGACCUGAGAGAGGGGUCGGCCACACUGGAGGUGAGACACGGUCCAGAGUCCUACGGGAGGGAGCAGUAGGGAAUCGUCCGCAGUGGGCGAAAGCCUGGCGGAGCAGCGCCGAGUGUGUGGUGAAGGUGUUCGGAUCGUAAAACUCUGUUAUUAGGGAAGAACAUAUGUGUAAGUAACUGUGCACAUCGUGACGGUACCUAAACAGAAAGCCACGGCUAACUACGUG